Molecule: ribosomal RNA, 327 nt
Filed under: uncultured eukaryote
Lineage: Eukaryota
Description: partial 18S ribosomal RNA
Rfam family: Eukaryotic small subunit ribosomal RNA
Source: RNAcentral
CCCUUAGAUGUUCUGGGCCGCACGCGCGCUACACUGAUGCAUUCAACGAGUUUCUUCCUGGUCCGAGAGGAAUGGGUAACCUUUUGAAAGUGCAUCGUGAUAGGGAUAGAUUAUUGCAAUUAUUAAUCUUCAACGAGGAAUGCCUAGUAGGCGCAAGUCAUCAGCUUGCGUCGAUUACGUCCCUGCCCUUUGUACACACCGCCCGUCGCUCCUACCGAUUGGGUGUGCUGGUGAAAUGUUCGGAUCGGCCGUUUGUCGCGGUUUCCGCGUCAUGUGGCUGAGAAGUUCAUUAAACCCUCCCACCUAGAGGAAGGAGAAGUCGUAACA